UNCACAGUGAGCUCCAGGACAGCCAGGG
This 28-nucleotide non-coding RNA is filed under the name Mus musculus (house mouse). The record is from RNAcentral. Lineage: Eukaryota; Metazoa; Chordata; Mammalia; Rodentia; Muridae.